This 1381-nucleotide ribosomal RNA is filed under the name uncultured euryarchaeote. Its description in RNAcentral is "bacterial SSU rRNA". It matches the Rfam family "Archaeal small subunit ribosomal RNA". The record is from RNAcentral. Lineage: Archaea; Methanobacteriati; Methanobacteriota.
GGAGGCCACUGCUAUUGGAGUCUGACUAAGCCAUGCGAGUCCAGGGGGGCUUUGCCCACCGGCGGACGGCUCAGUAACACGUGGACAACCUGCCCUCAGGAGGGGGAUAAUCCUGGGAAACUGGGACUAAACCCCCAUAGGUCACGGAGGCUGGAAGGCGCUGUGACCGAAAUUCCGAAAGGAGCCUGAGGAUGGGUCUGCGGCCUAUCAGGUUGUAGUGGGGGUAACGGCCCCACUAGCCUACGACGGGUACGGGCCCUGAGAGGGGGAGCCCGGAGAUGGACUCUGAGACACGAGUCCAGGCCCUACGGGGCGCAGCAGGCGCGAAACCUCCGCAAUGCUCGAAAGAGCGACGGGGGGACUCCGAGUGCCUACGCUUUGCGUAGGCUUUUCCCGAGUCUACAAAGCUCGGGGAAUAAGGGCUGGGUAAGACGGGUGCCAGCCGCCGCGGUAAUACCCGCAGCUCGAGUGGUGGCCGCUUUUAUUGGGCCUAAAGCGUCCGUAGCCGGUCUGGUAAAUGCCUGGGUAAAUCGUAGGGCUUAACCCUACGGCCCCCAGGUAGACUGCCAGACUUGGGACCGGAGGAGGGAGAGGGUACUCCAGGGGUAGGGGUGAAAUCAGCAGGGUGAGCCAAUGAUAGGCUUGCCUUGUAAGUCACAAUCCUGUAAUCCCUGGAGGACCACCGGUGGCGAAGGCGCUCUCCUAGGACGGGUCCGACGGUGAGGGACGAAAGCCAGGGGAGCAAACCGGAUUAGAUACCCGGGUAGUCCUGGCCGUAAACGAUGUGGACUUGGUAUUGGGAUGGCUACGGGCUGUCCCAGUGUCGUAGGGAAGCCGUUAAGUCCACCGCCUGGGGAGUACGGUCGCAAGGCUGAAACUUAAAGGAAUUGGCGGGGGAGCACUGCAACGGGAGGAGCGUGCGGUUUAAUUGGAUUCAACGCCGGAAAGCUCACCGGGGGAGACUGCCGUAUGUGAGCCAGGCUGAAGACCUUGCUCGAAUAAUAGGCAGAGAGGUGGUGCAUGGCCGUCGUCAGCUCGUACCGUAAGGCGUUCUGUUAAGUCAGGUAACGAGCGAGACCCCCGCCCUUAGUUGCUACCUGUCCCUCCGGGGACAGAGCACACUAAGGGGACUGCCGGCGAUAAGCUGGAGGAAGGAGGGGGCAACGGUAGGUCAGUAUGCCCUGAAUCCCCCGGGCUACACGCGCGCUACAAAGGCUGGGACAAUGGGUUGCGAUGCCGAAAGGCAAAGCUAAUCCCUAAACCCAGUCGUAGUUCGGAUCGAGGGCUGAAACUCGCCCUCGUGAAGGUGGAUUCCGUAGUAAUCGCGGGUCAGCAUCCCGCGGGGAAGUUACCCCUGCUCCUUGCACACACCGCCCGUCAA